UCUUUAUAGUUAUAAAUAUAAAGUCUUGCCUGCCCACUGAGUAUUGAAUGGCCGCGGUAUUUUGACCGUGCUAAGGUAGCAUAAUCAUUAGUUUUUUAAUUGAAAGCUAGAAUGAAGGGUUGGAUGAAAAAUUAACUGUCUUUAUAAAAUUAAUAUAGAAUUUUAUUUUUAAGUUCAAAAGCUUAAAUGUUUUUAAAAGACGAGAAGACCCUAUAGAGUUUUAUAAUAUUAAAUUAUUUCUUUAUUUAUAAAUUUUACAUGAAAUUUUAUAGUUUUAUUUGGUUGGGGUGACUAAAAAAUUUAAUUAACUUUUUUUAUUGUUUUAUAUUUAUUUAUAAAUUUUUGAUCCAGAGUAUUUUGAUUAUAAGAUAUAAUUACCUUAGGGAUAACAGCGUAAUUUUAUUAGAGAGUUCUUAUCGAUAAUAAAGAUUGCGACCUCGAUGUUGGAUUAAAA
RNAcentral lists this ribosomal RNA (454 nucleotides) under Laotzeus sp. BMNH 831414. RNAcentral's name for it is "partial 16S ribosomal RNA". Lineage: Eukaryota; Metazoa; Arthropoda; Insecta; Coleoptera; Chrysomelidae. The record is from RNAcentral.